This 514-nucleotide long non-coding RNA is filed under the name Erythranthe guttata (spotted monkey flower). Its description in RNAcentral is "long non-coding RNA (EGUT_LNC000877)". Lineage: Eukaryota; Viridiplantae; Streptophyta; Magnoliopsida; Lamiales; Phrymaceae. The record is from RNAcentral.
CGAUUCAUGCGAUUAACAAUAACAUAAAAGCACAUAAGUUGAUCAAGUUCAUGCACUUAAUAAAACAAGUAGAAGAAAUAAUCCGGAAUUAAAACUUGCAUAAAAUCAUAGAAUUGGGUUCAUAAAUCCCACAUAGGGUUCCAAAUAAAAUCCUAGAAAUAAGUAGUUUAGCUACUCAUGAUUAAAUCAAAAACGCAAAUAAUAUAAAUCAUAGACGAUAAAUCUUUGCUCGAAGUCUUCGUAUUCUUCGUCUUCGUUAUUGCUUUGUUGCUCUUGAAAUUGCGUAAAAAGAUGGAUAAUUGUGUGCUUGGAAUGGUCUUAUAUAGGGUGAAGAACUUGGGGAAGAAGGCAGUUUCCUUGUGCGAUUAAAAUCCCUUUACUGCGCAAUUUCGGGGUAUGGGACGGGGGUCCCAUAAUUUGCCCUAAAACUGGGACGGGGGUCCGAGCCUUGUUUCUUCAGAAUUUUGAUAUUUUCACUUUUGACCCAUAUUUUCGCCAAAAUUGCAGUUUUGAC